RNAcentral lists this long non-coding RNA (3641 nucleotides) under Brassica napus (rape). Its description in RNAcentral is "long non-coding RNA (BNAP_LNC003759)". The record is from RNAcentral. Lineage: Eukaryota; Viridiplantae; Streptophyta; Magnoliopsida; Brassicales; Brassicaceae.
AGAAUUUAGGGUUUAGGGUUUAGAGUUUAGGGUUUAGAGUUUAGGGGUGGGGUUUAGCGUUUAGGGUUUAGAGCUUAGGGUUUAGAGUUUAGGGGUGGGGUUUAGGGUUUAGGGUUUAGAGUUAAGAGGUGGGGUUUAGGGUUUAGGGUUUAGGGUUUAGAGUUUAGGGGUGGAGUUUAGGGUUUAGGGUUUAGAGUUUAGGGUUUAGGGUUUAGAGUUGGAGAGUAGGGUUUGAGAUAAGAUUUCAAAUUUUGAAAAAUAAAAAAAAAUAAAAUUUUUCAAAAGAUAAAAUGUUAUUUUGGUCAUUUUAAUUUUUUAGGGCUAUUUUUGUGACAUAAACUUAGAAAAAUGUUAUUUUGGAGAUUUGCCCAAAAUAUUUUUACAAGUUUAUUAACAUAACAAUAUGCAUUUAAUUUUUUUAUAUACUAGUAUAGGCCACUAAGUUGUAAUACGCGUAAAAAGCUUUGUAUGAAAAGAAGCAUUUUUGUAUGCAUAGUUUUCUUUGUGAACACAAUAUUUUCUUUUGCACGUUAUUGCUUUUGUAGAUAUUUCAAAGUUUGAUGCUAUAAAUAUUUUAUUCUUUUUUUUCUUUGGCCAAACAAGUGAAAUAGCCCUUUUUAAAGGCAUUUUGAAAGUGAAAAUAGUCUUUCAAAUACUAUCUGUUUAGCAUGAUAAAUGAUUAAAUAAGCCUUCACUAAAAAACGGUGAAUUUGAUUAAAACUAAUAAAUGUGGGAUAUUAAUUUAGAAAAAAUGACAUUAAAUUUAAAUAUAAUGUCUGAUACAUAUUUACGCAAAAAUGUAAAUGAGCAUGAAUUAUUUUAAAACUUAUUUAUAGAAUUUUAAAAAACUUGACACUAAAAUUGUUUUUCGCUUACAAGUUUUUUAAAAUCUUUGAUAUAAGUCGGUCUUUUAGUUUGUUUUUGUAACUCCAUAUUUAGUUAUCAAUAUAAGUUUUAAAGAAUCAAGUUGAGAAACAAUUGAGAAUGAUUAAUGUAGAUUAACUAAUAUCAAAUCUGGUUAUAAAUUUUUUCACUUUAUUAUGCCAAAGCAUUACAACUUCAGAAUAUUUGAGAGAAAACAAAAUGAACAAAAUAACUAAAAGUAAAACUGCAAAAACUGGAAAUUUUAUUUGUACUAUAUCAUAAUAUUUAAAAUCUGACUGAAAAACAAAUACUGUAAAAUAUUAUAAAUUACCAGUUAUACACAAAAUGUAUCAUAUCAUAUUGUUAGGUUUUAGAAUCCAUACCACUCAGAUAUUUAAAAAUAAUAGCUAAAUAAAUCUUAGUUGUCUAUAGUAGUUAUAUUAAUAUACAUUUUGAUUGUUCUAGAUCAUUAUGUAAGAUAACUAAAUUUAGCUGGAUCAUGAAUAAAAACAUAUUAUCAUUUCGGAUUAUAUGGAUUAGAAUGAUAACAACCAAAAAUCAAUAAAAUUUGAAGAAAAAAAAAGAAUUCAAAAAAAAAUAAAAACUUAAUUUAAUAAAAGAUAUGUUAGAGAAUAUAAAAUUUUCAUGAGGAUUUUUUUUAUUUCAAUAGGAAAUAUUGUUAUUAUAGUGUGAAGUAAAUUUGGCGGCAAAGAUGCCAGAAUGUUAUGCCGAAUCUGAAGGAGAGGGACCAUGUCUUCCUUUUCGAACAGGCUAUCACAAGUGGUGACAGCUUAGAAACAUGUGUUUUUUAUUUAUUUCUUUUCAUAUAUUAGAUUUUAUUGCUCCUAAGACAUAAUCAUUGAUCUCAUUUGCGAAUUUAAUAUUCUUGUGGGUAUAUUCUAUGCAUCUUCUUCUCUGAUGUGACUAUAAAUAUAUUGUUUUGUUUGCUUGCAAUGUUCCUCACUUCAAAUCAAUUUUUGGUGGGAAAACUAAAUGGGAUUAUUAGAUUACUGAAUUUCUAGUUAGAUUUUUUUUUGUCGACGAAUUUUCUAGUUAGAUGAGAUCACUGGAUUGAUAAGUUCUAAAUCUUCUCUGGAUAGUUUAUAUAAAUAUGCACAUAGUACAAUAUUGCAAAGGCAGCACGGCGAUUUUUGUUUUCAAUGAAUAUUGUUGCUGUUCUUUUUAACUAUUUUGAAAGUAUUAAUUUCAUAUUCAAAAAGCUAAUAAAUUCAAAUUGAGUUGUUCUUUUUGGGCAAACACGGUCAAACAAUCACUCGCACCCCAAUCUGAAACCAUUGUUUGAUUUCUGUACGUAACUAGAGUUGCUUGUGUGCAAGAAAUAAAGUGUAUCGCAAGAAUUUGACUUCAAUAGAUAGAUUAUAUAAGCAACGAAUAACAAAUUUAACGUGACGAAAUAUAACAAUGUUUUUAAAUUGAAAAAGUUUCGUGAAGUUUUCUAGGGACUUAAUUUUACAAAAGGAUUUGAUUGGCAACAAUUGUGUUUAGUAAGGCGGUUGAGAGCUGGAUUGGUCGUGAACUUGUUUGCGAAACAUGUUUCAGUUACUUUUAGCAAAAGCCCCCUAGUUGUUCCAUUUCAGUUCUGAUGCACACCUAGUUGUAGUAUUCACAUGUCCCAUGACUCCCAUAGGUAACCGGAAAACGGCUUAAUUUGAGACUCUAACCACCUCAAAUAAUGCCAGAGGUUCGAAACCGGUUGGCCCCUUUUUAAUAAUAUUAUUUUUUCACACCAAAAAAGAUUAUGCUAGAAAAUUAGAAAUAUACCUAAAUCAUCAGGCUGAAAUGGACCAGUAGGCUUUAUAAUCAUGCCCAUGAUUAACCCCGGCUAAGAACUGAUGUUCUUAAUUCAAAAUUUGACAUUUUUUGUUUUUGUUUUUGUUUUUUACAUUUUUCGGUUAAAAAAUAGCUUUUAUAUCUCUUAUUUAAGAAACGGUUCUUAGCUUUUCUUAAUUAAAAUAGAAGAAAAGUUAAGAACCGUCUCUUACCCGAAGUUAAAAACACCAGUUAAGAGACUGAGGUUAAUCAUGAUGAUCUGACCACUAGAGUUUCAACAAAUCCCAUUCAGAUUUUAUACUAGCACAAGCUCGAUUUAAAUAAUAAUAAUAAAAAAAAACAGAAAGAUCAAUUCUUCUUAUCACAAGAAGCUCCUCUGUUUAGUCAACGCCUCCAUCACCACCACCUCCACCGUAGCCGCCACCACCGUACGCCCGGGGAGCACUUGGUCUGUCGUUAGCAACAUUCACUCGGAUGUUCCGCCCAUUCAGUUCCUGAAAUUACAUAAAGAGAAAAAGACAAAAAUAACACUAAAUCAAGUUUUUGUUCCCAAACUAGCACUCAAGGUCAAAAGUCACAAAAUAACAUUUAAUGUUUUAUCAAAAGUCACAAACUUAGGGUUUAGAGUUAAAUGGUGGGGUUUAGGAUUUAGGGUUUAGGGUUUAGAGUUUAGGGUUUAGAGUUUAGGGUUUAGGGUUUAGGGUUUAGGGUUUAGGGUUUAGAGUUUAGGUUUUAGGGUUUAUAGUUUAGGGUUUAGGGUUUAGAGUUAAGAGUUUAGGGUUUAGGGUUUAGGGUUUAGAGUUUAGGAUUUAGGGUUUAGAGUUGAGAAAUGAGGUUUUGGAGAUAAGAUUUCAAAUUUUAAAAAAUAAAAAAAUUAAAAUUUUUAAAAAAUAGAAUGCUAUUUUGGUCAUUUUAGUUUUUGAGUGCUAAUUUUGUGAUAUAAACUUAGAAAUGUGCUAUUUUGGAGAUUUGCGCUUACAUAAACC